Molecule: ribosomal RNA, 189 nt
Filed under: uncultured bacterium
Lineage: Bacteria
Description: partial 16S ribosomal RNA
Rfam family: Bacterial small subunit ribosomal RNA
Source: RNAcentral
UAACACGUAGGGGGCAAGCGUUGUCCGGAUUUAUUGGGCGUAAAGAGCUCGUAGGCGGUUCGGUAAGUCGGGUGUGAAACCUCCAGGCUCAACCUGGAGACGCCACCCGAUACUGCUGUGACUAGAGUCCGGUAGGGGAGCGUGGAAUUCCUGGUGUAGCGGUGAAAUGCGCAGAUAUCAGGAGGAACA